Macaca mulatta (Rhesus monkey) is the source of this 2676-nucleotide long non-coding RNA. RefSeq lists it as uncharacterized. The record is from RefSeq and is a predicted model, not a curated record. NCBI's taxonomy places the organism in Eukaryota, Metazoa, Chordata, Mammalia, Primates, Cercopithecidae.
UUUUAUGUUGUAAUCUAUGCAUUUUCUCCUCCUGCCUUAAUGAUUACCCUUAUUUUUUUUUAAUUGUCCCCUUGUAUUUAUGGUGCACCUGUGUUGCCUUGUUAUGAAAAUUAAAUGUUGUUUACAUGAGAUGAGAAAGGUUUUCCAUUUCUACUUCUUCACUGUGGUCAUCACAAGCUAGGUUCAUACACUUACCAUCUAAGCCUGCAUGUUCACAUGUGCAUAUGUGUGUGCACACACACAUAUGCACACACACAUCGUGUUUGCUAUUUUACAAAUCUAGAGUAAGACCCAUCAACGCAGUUUUUUGCUUUUGUGGAAAUGAAUCUUUGAAUCUCAGACCAGAGAGCCAUGGAGGAGCUGUCUCAGCAAAAGAUAAAGAGCAGGAUCUUUGUUCUUCUAAAUCCUUAGUUCCUUGGAUGAUACUUUAAACUCUCUCCCACUUCUGCUUGCACCGGGAUUACAACAGCAGAAGCCCAGAGAGAUGUCAAGCGGCUUAAAGGAAAUUGUAUGUAGUGGAAAAUUCUUUUUUUUAUUAAAAGCUAUGUAUCUUUCUUAUCUUUUUGAAUAUACGGCUGCUUCUGGCUUGCCUCUGUGAAUCCACACAGCUGAUCGAAUCUCUGCCUCAUUGUGCUCACUUAUUAAAAGCUGACCUCCAAUAUCAGCCAUAGGUGAUUCCUACAUCUAGGGACAGAGUCCUACUAUAAUAAUUAUGGCAGGAGGUCAGGAUGCAGCCUGGGGGCAGGAGAGCAGUCAGCCUGAAGCACCCCAAAGCCUGACGAUCCCCUCACUGCUGUCUUUCUCAAGGAGACUGGAGGUUCCUACCUUUCUCUGAGCUAACUCGUGUACCUAUGUUUUGCUAUUUAAUUUUUACGAAAGUUCUAUGACAUAGGUGUUAUCAUUCUCAUUUUACACCUUAAAAAUAUGAGUUUCAAAGAUGCUCAAUUCAUGUUAACUAGAGGUAGACCAAGGAUACAAACCUACAUGUUUGACCCCAAAACUUACACUCUUCUGUAAUGAUGCUUUUAAGAAUGGGAAAAAUUGGCGAAUGGGACCAUCAUCAUUAUGUUAAGGUAUAGACAUUCAGUUUGGGGCUUUCACAGACUCAAUUGCUAGAGCAAAUAAAGUACAUUUUGGCCUAAUCAGCAUUUUUCAAACUGUGCUACAAAGCCCUCUAGAGGUUUCAAAUGUGAGUGAGGAACAACUAAGAUGGUCAGCUCUGGGCUACUGCUGCUCUUUGAUUUAUUUGUUUAAGCCUCCGUAUGUAAGGUUUUGUUUGGAAAUACAAGUUCACCUUCUACAGCAUACUUCAGGGUGGUGGAGGGUGAAGGAAGAUAAUUUUAUAGAAGUCCAGAAAGUUCAGGCCACUGUAGAACCAAGACAACAUCAGCUCCUGCUCCUACUGCACGGUGUAGCCCUGGCUGCAAAGCAGCUGGCGUGGAUGGAGACAUGAGCCGAGAAAAGAGAAAGUUUAUAGGAACUGGCAAGAAUGAGGGAUGAAAAUGGGUCAUAAGUAGCAAUCCCAGGGACACUAUUGGCAAUUAUCAAUCAGGUCCAAACUGCACAAAAUAAAUCUAACUUAGUUUUCUGUAUUAAUGAGGAGAGACAGGGGAAGAAGGAGGGAGCAUGGUCACUAUUUUAGAAUUGGAGACAAGGAUUGGUAAUAGGGAAAGGUAUUGGUAAUAGGGGGUAAUAGGGGCUUAAUUGUACUGUAGGGACAGCAAAAGCAUACUUUCAGGCUAGCAAGAGAGAGGGCCUACAUGUGCCUCAAAAUCCAAAAUGACAUCCCCAAACCUACAAAGAAAAAAAUAUGUAAUUGUGGGAAAUUUUGAAAAUAUAUUACAUUAUGCAAAUUGAAAAGUGUAAGUCCCAGUUGUACUUGUUUGGCGACACAGUGAAAUCCUACUUUUUUUCUGUUUAGAUAUAAAAUAAGCAUCAAAAAAAGAGCCCCACUCCAUCUAAUGGAGAGGACUCUCUCUACCUCCAGGCUAAUUGCCUAGACCAACUUGAAUUCCCUGUUCUCAGCUAAUAAUGGAGAGUGUCAGGGACUGGCUGGGUUAUCCAAGUUGAAGCCAUCAGGCAAUACAUCAGAGAAAAGAAGAGAAUAAAGAGGGCCAGGUCCUCUGUUGUGACUGGAAUAGAGAAUAGCACUACACGAUGGCAUAGAGAAUGUAUCUGGGAAAGCAGAACAAGAAGAUGGGUCUUCCCUCGAGGAAUUCUCAGAAAGUGUCAGCUGGUCAGCCUCUUGCUGUCAACCUGAGGACACUAACAGUCACCCCUUCCAAAAUUCUUCUUCCAUUCUGCCAUCAAUUUGUCAAGGGAUAUGGAGGUUCACCAUUGCGUAUUUCCAGAAGGGAAGAAGAAUGUGUGGAAAGAUUUUUUAUCUUUGCAGUGUGGAAACCUAAAAACACGUGAGGGAGAUGGAAGUUUGGGAAGCUUCUACACAUGCCUGCACCACAGCACAGCCUUGACUGCUGUGUGCUCCAACAGCUGGACAUUUCUGCAAGCAAGCAAACAGAAAUUAAAUACACAAAACAGACAAGCCAGUUGUAUGGUAUGAUGGAAAAACAAUCCCCGGAGCAGGGGGAUCCUGGUUCCUCCACUAGACCAGUGAUAAAAUACUCAACCUCUUUGGGCUUAAAAACUGGGACAAUAAAGAUUGUAAUCCCACAGGAA